GGGACGCGGCCAGGCUGGGCGCCGGCCAGGGGCUGCGCAACCGGCCGAAGGUGCGGCGGCUCGGGACGCACUGAGUGCCGGCGAACUGCCGCAGCAAGUAGCGGCGUGGGCCAUGGCGACCGGCGGCGGCUCGACCCCGCAGCAUCCGCGUCCGUCUUCGCAGCCGGCGAGUGACCGUCCCCGCUCCCAGCAAGAGGCGGUGGCUCGGGCCAGGCGAGCGGACAUGGCGAGCUGCGCCGCCGCCGGCUGGUGCGGGCAGAGCGGGUCGGGCGCUGCUGCCGCGUGGGUCGGAGCGGCUCGGCCAGGCCCCAACGCGGGCGGCCUCAGGCGGGGCAAGCGAGGGGGAGGGACCGGCAUGCGGCGGCUCGACGGCAAGCGCAAGCACAUAUUGGAGGUGGAGAUCGAUAGUAUUUUUUAUUUUUCUCUUGAUGAAAUUGUUCUGAGCUGUUGUUGAGAGAAAUUUGGGGAACAUUGAAUAUAUUUUUAAUUUGAGGAUUGAUGCUGGUUUAAUUGUUGUAAUUAAAUGGAGAAUUUCAUGGCAUUGUGAUUGAUUGGGGAAUUUGAGAA
Molecule: long non-coding RNA, 567 nt
Organism: Panicum virgatum (switchgrass)
Lineage: Eukaryota; Viridiplantae; Streptophyta; Magnoliopsida; Poales; Poaceae
Exons: 2
Source: RefSeq, a predicted model, not a curated record